Molecule: long non-coding RNA, 454 nt
Filed under: Homo sapiens (human)
Lineage: Eukaryota; Metazoa; Chordata; Mammalia; Primates; Hominidae
Description: HSALNT0058790
Source: RNAcentral
CAGAAAUCACCUGUCUUCUGCUUCGCUCACGCUGGGAGCUGUAGACCGGAGCUGUUCCUGUUCGGCCAUCUUGGCUCCUCCCUGCCAGAUAGCUCUUAUUUUGAGCUCUGAAGGCUGAGAACUUCAAGAUCAAGGCACCAGUAGACUCAGUGUCUUAUGAGUGCUACUAUUUGCUUCAAAGACGAUGCCUUCUUGCUAAAUCCUCUGCAGACAGAAGCUGAAGAUCCACCGUGCAAGGAAGACAUCAAGGAGAUCCCUGCUGUACAUAGGAAUUUGAAUGAGAAUUUCCCUUCAAUUCUGAGACACUAUAAAUCUGACAUCAUAUAGUAAUAUGAAAGGUGAUAUUUCACACAUAACCAAGGCACAACUUCUCUUUUCAGUAAAUAUUGCUAAACUCAAAAAAACCUACACAUAUGACUUAAAUGAUAGAUAUAAAUAAAGGUGGUUUCAACAC